Acanthosepion pharaonis is the source of this 110-nucleotide non-coding RNA. The record is from the annotation of a GenBank genome assembly. NCBI's taxonomy places the organism in Eukaryota, Metazoa, Mollusca, Cephalopoda, Sepiida, Sepiidae.
GGGCACAUCACGUUGAAACACCAGUUCCCGUACGAUCACCGAAGUUAAGCAACGUCGAAUCUGGUCAGUAUCUAGAUACAUGUCCACUUUGGAAUACCAGGUGCUGGAAG